GGGGGGGGGUUUUGUAGCACAACAAUGAAACAAUGCCCUACACACGUAUCUACAUAAAGGUGAACGAAUUAGAUAAUAAUGGCCAUCUGACGAUUUUUAUCCUUGAUGUCGUGAAAAAAUGAAACUGAAAAUUUUAUUCCGUUGUUCACUUUACAUUAUAUUAUUGAUUUCCACACAAGUAGAACGUUAACAGAAAAACAAGUUAAAAUUUAAUAUUUGGUUUGCACAUGACAAGGACGAUUGAGUUGUCUUUCUUUGACCAUACACAUAGUUGUUACUGCUGGUUAAUUCCCUUGUCCGGUCACCUCAAUUUUGCAAUUAUUUUAACUAUUAUAGAUUGUAUAUGCCGUUAAACGCUUUUACCAACCACCUCUCAGAUGUUUCGUUUCAAAUUUCCUGUCAAUCUUUCGAACACCGGGUAUUUAGGAUUUUUUUUGAGGAGAUACUUGAACUUAUGUCAUUUUGAUACACCACAUUGGAUAAAAAAAUAUCUGUUUAUGCUAGUACCAAAGUUACUUAUAAAAAUGAUUUUAUUCCAAUUCUUGCACCAACAGAGGAAACAGAUGCAUAUCUUGUGAAAUCUACCAAUCAUAGAGGAGUUGUUUCUUAAAAGGGCAAAUAAAACAAAACAAAUGAAUAUUUAAGAAUGAAAGUAAAUUGUAGUGAAACCCAUUGUCAGUUUGAUUUUAAAACGUCUAUUUAAUAAAAGGGUAAUGAAUAUAAAAUGAAAGAUAUGUCAUGCAUACAACUAUGAAAAUACAAAUAAUUUAAUCAUAUGUAAAGUAUGAGCGACAAAAACGUAACUAAUGGAUUUAUAAGAAAUAAAAAAAAACAACAUUAUAAACAUAGAAGAAGGCAACUAUGGCAAAUUUCAUUCCUCUGCUUAAUUCGGAAUUUUUUAGAUUAUUAAUUUUUUUUAGAAAAUUUUUUACAAAACAGUUAUCAUUUGCAUUUACCAAUUCUUGCUUAUGAAUGAAUUUCUAUCUAUGUGAUACAUUGUCUUUUGUUUAUGAUCAUUGAAUCUUAAGAAAUAUCAUGACCAAAAUGAUGACCAAACUUCAUUACGGAUUCGUUCAACUGAUCAUGUGAUCAAUAAAACUCUAACGGAAUCUGUUCAACUGAUCUCUUAAACUAUUACCAAAUUCUACUAUAAUUGAAACAUUUUUCUUGAAAUGACUACAAAUAAAGUCAUCUUAUUUUCACUCAUACAUUUUUUCGCAUUUAGUCCUAUUACUUUGCGAAUUUCGCAGCAAUUUAUUAAGGUAUAAUUCUUACUUUCUUUGCAAAACUACAGAAAUGAAGGCACUAUUUUAGCAUA
RNAcentral lists this long non-coding RNA (1318 nucleotides) under Mytilus galloprovincialis (Mediterranean mussel). The record is from RNAcentral. Lineage: Eukaryota; Metazoa; Mollusca; Bivalvia; Mytilida; Mytilidae.